RNAcentral lists this ribosomal RNA (433 nucleotides) under uncultured bacterium. Its description in RNAcentral is "partial 16S ribosomal RNA". It matches the Rfam family "Bacterial small subunit ribosomal RNA", at positions 29 to 507 of the family's 1533-position model. The record is from RNAcentral.
AACGAACGCUGGCGGCAUGCCUAACACAUGCAAGUCGAACGAGACCUUCGGGUCUAGUGGCGCACGGGUGCGUAACGCGUGGGAACCUGCCCUUAGGUUCGGAAUCACUCCCCGAAAGGGGUGCUAAUACCGGAUAAUGUCUCCGGACCAAAGAUUUAUCGCCUUUGGAUGGGCUCGCGUUGGAUUAGCUAGUUGGUAGGGUAAAAGCCUACCAAGGCGACGAUCCUUAGCUGGUCUGAGAGGAUGAGCAGCCACACUGGGACUGGGACACGGCCCAGACUCCUACGGGAGGCAGCAGUGGGGAAUAUUGGACAAUGGGCGAAAGCCUGAUCCAGCAAGGCCGCGUGAGUGAUGAAGGCCUUAGGGUUGUAAAGCUCUUUUACCCGGGAUGAUAAUGACAGUACCGGGAGAAUAAGCUCCGGCUAACUCCGUG